Non-coding RNA from Schistocerca serialis cubense, 74 nucleotides. NCBI's taxonomy places the organism in Eukaryota, Metazoa, Arthropoda, Insecta, Orthoptera, Acrididae. The record is from the annotation of a RefSeq genome assembly.
GUCCGUGUGGUGCAGUGGUUAACGCGACUGCCUAGAAAGCAGGAGGUCCUGGGUUCGACUCCCGGCCUGGUACA